Molecule: non-coding RNA, 90 nt
Filed under: Pseudomonas tolaasii NCPPB 2192
Lineage: Bacteria; Pseudomonadati; Pseudomonadota; Gammaproteobacteria; Pseudomonadales; Pseudomonadaceae
Source: RNAcentral
UGUGGGAGCUGGCUUGCCUGCGAUAGCGGUGGUUCAGUCAAUAAACACGUCGACUGAUACUCCGCUAUCGCAGGCAGGCCAGCUCCCACA